RNAcentral lists this ribosomal RNA (306 nucleotides) under uncultured bacterium. RNAcentral describes it as "partial 16S ribosomal RNA". It matches the Rfam family "Bacterial small subunit ribosomal RNA", at positions 505 to 810 of the family's 1533-position model. The record is from RNAcentral.
GACAGCAGCAGCCGCGGUAAUACAGAGGGUGCAAGCGUUAAUCGGAAUUACUGGGCGUAAAGCGCGCGUAGGUGGUUUGUUAAGUUGGAUGUGAAAUCCCCGGGCUCAACCUGGGAACUGCAUCCAAAACUGGCAAGCUAGAGUAUGGUAGAGGGUGGUGGAAUUUCCUGUGUAGCGGUGAAAUGCGUAGAUAUAGGAAGGAACACCAGUGGCGAAGGCGACCACCUGGACUGAUACUGACACUGAGGUGCGAAAGCGUGGGGAGCAAACAGGAUUAGAUACCCCGUAGUCCCUGUCUCUUAUAUA